This 492-nucleotide ribosomal RNA is filed under the name uncultured bacterium. RNAcentral's name for it is "partial 16S ribosomal RNA". It matches the Rfam family "Bacterial small subunit ribosomal RNA", at positions 29 to 507 of the family's 1533-position model. The record is from RNAcentral.
AGUGAACGCUGGCGGUAGGCCUAACACAUGCAAGUCGAACGGCAGCACAGUAAGAGCUUGCUCUUACGGGUGGCGAGUGGCGGACGGGUGAGGAAUACAUCGGAAUCUACUUUUUCGUGGGGGAUAACGUAGGGAAACUUACGCUAAUACCGCAUACGACCUACGGGUGAAAGCAGGGGAUCUUCGGACCUUGCGCGAUUGAAUGAGCCGAUGUCGGAUUAGCUAGUUGGCGGGGUAAAGGCCCACCAAGGCGACGAUCCGUAGCUGGUCUGAGAGGAUGAUCAGCCACACUGGAACUGAGACACGGUCCAGACUCCUACGGGAGGCAGCAGUGGGGAAUAUUGGACAAUGGGCGAAAGCCUGAUCCAGCCAUACCGCGUGGGUGAAGAAGGCCUUCGGGUUGUAAAGCCCUUUUGUUGGGAAAGAAAAGCAGCAGGUUAAUACCCCGCUGUUCUGACGUUACCCAAAGAAUAAGCACCGGCUAACUUCGUG